AAGUAGAACGCACAGGAUGCACCGUAGUUUACUACACCGUAUUCUGUGAGUUGCGAACGGGUGAGUAACGCGUAGGUAACCUGCCUGGUAGCGGGGGAUAACUAUUGGAAACGAUAGCUAAUACCGCAUAAGAACAUUUACUGCAUGGUAGAUGUUUAAAAGGUGCAAAAGCAUCACUACCAGAUGGACCUGCGUUGUAUUAGCUAGUUGGUGAGGUAACGGCUCACCAAGGCAACGAUACAUAGCCGACCUGAGAGGGUGAUCGGCCACACUGGGACUGAGACACGGCCCAGACUCCUACGGGAGGCAGCAGUAGGGAAUCUUCGGCAAUGGGGGGAACCCUGACCGAGCAACGCCGCGUGAGUGAAGAAGGUUUUCGGAUCGUAAAGCUCUGUUGUUAAGGAAGAACGUGUGUGAGAGUGGAAAGUUCACACAGUGACGGUACUUAACCAGAAAGGGACGGCUAACUACGUGCCAGCAGCCGCGGUAAUACGUAGGUCCCGAGCGUUGUCCGGAUUUAUUGGGCGUAAAGCGAGCGCAGGCGGUUAGAUAAGUCUGAAGUGAAAGGCAGUGGCUCAACCAUUGUAGGCUUUGGAAACUGUUUAACUUGAGUGCAGAAGGGGAGAGUGGAAUUCCAUGUGUAGCGGUGAAAUGCGUAGAUAUAUGGAGGAACACCGGUGGCGAAAGCGGCUCUCUGGUCUGUAACUGACGCUGAGGCUCGAAAGCGUGGGGAGCGAACAGGAUUAGAUACCCUGGUAGUCCACGCCGUAAACGAUGAGUGCUAGGUGUUAGGUCCUUUCC
RNAcentral lists this ribosomal RNA (801 nucleotides) under uncultured Streptococcaceae bacterium. Its description in RNAcentral is "bacterial SSU rRNA". It matches the Rfam family "Bacterial small subunit ribosomal RNA", at positions 59 to 835 of the family's 1533-position model. The record is from RNAcentral. Lineage: Bacteria; Bacillati; Bacillota; Bacilli; Lactobacillales; Streptococcaceae.